GGAUCGCUAGCUCAACGGUAGAGCAAUCGACUGCAGAUCGGUAGGUUUCUGGUUCAAAUCCGGAGCGGUCCU
This 72-nucleotide transfer RNA is filed under the name Amphiamblys sp. WSBS2006. It matches the Rfam family "tRNA". Rfam says of the family: Transfer RNA (tRNA) molecules are approximately 80 nucleotides in length. Their secondary structure includes four short double-helical elements and three loops (D, anti-codon, and T loops). Further hydrogen bonds mediate the characteristic L-shaped molecular structure. tRNAs have two regions of fundamental functional importance: the anti-codon, which is responsible for specific mRNA codon recognition, and the 3' end, to which the tRNAs corresponding amino acid is attached (by aminoacyl-tRNA synthetases). tRNAs cope with the degeneracy of the genetic code in two manners: having more than one tRNA (with a specific anti-codon) for a particular amino acid; and 'wobble' base-pairing, i.e. permitting non-standard base-pairing at the 3rd anti-codon position. The record is from Rfam by way of RNAcentral. Lineage: Eukaryota; Fungi; Microsporidia; Amphiacanthidae.